Molecule: long non-coding RNA, 230 nt
Filed under: Lathyrus oleraceus (garden pea)
Lineage: Eukaryota; Viridiplantae; Streptophyta; Magnoliopsida; Fabales; Fabaceae
Description: Pisum sativum (pea) long non-coding RNA (PSAT_LNC029311)
Source: RNAcentral
AAAAAUAAAAAAUAAAAAAUAGGCUGGCAAGCCCGCCAUCUGCCAACCCGCCAUCUAGACGGGGCAAACUAGAUUUUUAAGCCCAAUUUCACUUAGCAUAUUUGUCCGUCCUGCCCCUUUUUGGCAUGCUUAAGACCAUGGCGGGGCAAACAACCCGUUUUGUCACCCAUACUUGUACCUCCGUUGAGAAACACCAUUAUCUCGUCAUGGACACUUCAACAGAACACACC